This 253-nucleotide ribosomal RNA is filed under the name uncultured bacterium. Its description in RNAcentral is "partial 16S ribosomal RNA". It matches the Rfam family "Bacterial small subunit ribosomal RNA", at positions 524 to 776 of the family's 1533-position model. The record is from RNAcentral.
UACGGGGGGGGCAAGCGUUGUUCAGAAUUACUGGGCGUAAAGGGCUCGUAGGCGGCCGACUAAGUCAGACGUGAAAUCCCUCGGCUUAACCGGGGAACUGCGUCUGAUACUGGACGGCUUGAGUUCGGGAGAGGGAUGCGGAAUUCCAGGUGUAGCGGUGAAACGCGUAGAUAUCUGGAGGAACACCGGUGGCGAAGGCGGCAUCCUGGACCGACACUGACGCUGAGGAGCGAAAGCCGGGGGAGCAAACGGG